ACAGUGCGAGUCUCCGCUGAUUUGCGGUGGUGCAUCCCACCCGGAUAACUGUGGAGUUUUCGCAGGGCGAGGGGGAGAACUGGAGCUUGAAACUCCCAUAUUCCUUGCACCUCUCGGGCCCUGGACAGGCAGCUCUUAGUCACUGGGGUGUCCAUAGCGCCCGCGAAGGGCCAGCGUCCCAGAGGGUUCCCAGGUCAGGUUGGUGACGCGUGGGGCUUCCCUAACUUCAUAGGCAAAGCCUGCCAGACCCUCCCCCGGGGAGCGGAGCUCCGAGCACCAGGGCCGACUCCGCUCCUGAGGCCGCUGAGCCCUCCUGCACCUGUCCGGCCCGGGAAGUGCCAUAGGACAGCUGAUUGCCAAGUUAAUGAGCAUCUUCGGAAACCAGGGCUCUGCGGGAUGCUUCAGUCCUGAUUUUGCCAAUAAGCAGGACGUGAAGGACUCUGUGAGGACGGUGGAGAUCUCCUAUUUCCUUCCUCUCAGGACCAGCAAAGGCCACUGUGAUCCUGUACCCUCACCGGAGAAGGGUUAGUGGCUGCCCCACCUGGAUCUCCAGGCCUGGCUGAACCAAUGGAUGACUGACCAUCAGAACCCUUCUUCUGCCUCUCUCCUGUGAGAAUCUGGCUCACAGUUGGCUCCUGGGCCAAGCCAAUUGGGCAUCUCCCCACAGAGACGGAGUUUCACCGUGUUAUCCAGGAUGCUCUUGAUCUCCUGACCUCGUGAUCUGCCUGCCUCGGCCUCCCAAAGUGCUGGGAUUACAGGCUGCCUGCUGCACUCCAGUGGAUGCAAUCUCCGGCCGUUGCUAACUGAUGUUCCAGUCUGAGGCCAAUCAGAAACUUUGGGGUUUUGCAUGGUCAACAUGAGUGGAAAAUCAAGUGGCUAUUUAUUACUUUUUUAUGGUUCUCUGGUGGGAGCAGUGGCUGCUAUGGACAGUGAGAUUGACACCAUUCUCCCAACCCGUUGCUGAGAAUUGGACUGCAUACCUUGGAUUCCUGCAGACAGCACAGCGGAAUAAGCUGCCCCUCACCAUGGCCACAGGCAUCCUUCUUGGAGAUGUCAGGGAAAUGUUGGAUAUGUUGCAGAAUUAGGGAGUGGAACCCUCUCCCUCUCCUCAGCCCUCAACCUCUCCGUAGGAAUAAUGUGUGUGUUAGGGGGCAGAUUAAGAGACCCCUGAGGCCGGGCACGGUGGCUCAUGCCUGUAAUCCCAGCACUUUGGGUGGCUGAGGCGGGAGGAUUACUUGAGGUCAGGAGUUGGAGACCAGCCUGGCUAACACGGUGAAACCCCGUCUCUACUAAAAACAUAAAAAUUAGCUUGGUGGUGGUGCACGCCUGUAGUCCUAGCUACUCGGGUGGCUGAGGCAGAAGAAUGGCUUGAACCCGGAAGGUGGAGGUUGCAGUGAGCCGAGAUUGUGGCCCUGCACUCCAGCCUGGGUGACAGAGCGAGACACCAUCUCAAACAAAACAAAACACAAAAAGUAACCAGACGUAGUGGCAGGAGUCUGUAAUCCUAGCUACUAGGAAGGCUGAGACAGGAGAAUCCUUUGAACCCGGGAGGCGGAGCUUGCAAUGAGCUGAGAUCCGGCCACUGCACUCCAGCCUGGGCGACAGAGCGAGACUCCGUCUCAAAAAAAAAAAAAAAAAAAAAAAAAG
RNAcentral lists this long non-coding RNA (1647 nucleotides) under Macaca mulatta (Rhesus monkey). Its description in RNAcentral is "lncRNA (ENSMMUG00000063779.1)". The record is from RNAcentral. Lineage: Eukaryota; Metazoa; Chordata; Mammalia; Primates; Cercopithecidae.